Molecule: ribosomal RNA, 891 nt
Filed under: Phytophthora nicotianae (black shank of tobacco agent)
Lineage: Eukaryota; Oomycota; Peronosporomycetes; Peronosporales; Peronosporaceae
Description: eukaryotic LSU rRNA
Rfam family: 5.8S ribosomal RNA (bases 259-413)
Source: RNAcentral
UCCGUAGGUGAACCUGCGGAAGGAUCAUUACCACACCCAAAAACUUUCCACGUGAACCGUUUCAACCCAAUAGUUGGGGGUCUUAUUUGGCGGCGGCUGCUGGCUUAAUUGUUGGCGGCUGCUGCUGAGUGAGCCCUAUCAAAAAAAAGGCGAACGUUUGGGCUUCGGCCUGAUUUAGUAGUCUUUUUUUCUUUUAAACCCAUUCCUUAAUACUGAAUAUACUGUGGGGACGAAAGUCUCUGCUUUUAACUAGAUAGCAACUUUCAGCAGUGGAUGUCUAGGCUCGCACAUCGAUGAAGAACGCUGCGAACUGCGAUACGUAAUGCGAAUUGCAGGAUUCAGUGAGUCAUCGAAAUUUUGAACGCAUAUUGCACUUCCGGGUUAGUCCUGGAAGUAUGCCUGUAUCAGUGUCCGUACAUUAAACUUGACUUUCUUCCUUCCGUGUAGUCGGUGGAGGAGAUGUCAGAUGUGAAGUGUCUUGCGAUUGGUCUUCGGACCGGCUGCGAGUCCUUUUAAAUGUACUAAACUGAACUUCUCUUUGCUCGAAAAGUGGUGGCGUUGCUGGUUGUGAAGGCUGCUAUUGUGGCAAAUUGGCGACUGGUUUGUCUGCUGCGGCRUUAAUGGAAGAGUGUUCGAUUCGUGGUAUGGUUGGCUUCGGCUGAACAAUGCACUUAUUGGACGUUUUUCCUGCUGUGGCGUGAUGGACUGGUGAACCAUAGCUCGGUGGCUUGGCUUUUGAAUUGGCUUUGCUGUUGCGAAGUAGGGUGGCAGCUUCGAUUGUCGAGGGUCGAUCCAUUUGGGAACUUAAUGUGUACUUCGGUAUGCAUCUCAAUUGGACCUGAUAUCAGGCAAGAUUACCCGCUGAACUUAAGCAUAUCAAUAAGCGGAGGA